UACGUAGGUGGCAAGCGUUGUCCGGAUUUACUGGGUGUAAAGGGCGUGCAGCCGGGCUGACAAGUCAGAUGUGAAAUCCCGCGGCUCAACCGCGGAACUGCAUUUGAAACUGUCAGUCUUGAGUACCGGAGAGGUCAUCGGAAUUCCUUGUGUAGCGGUGAAAUGCGUAGAUAUGAGGAGGAACACCAGUGGCGAAGGCGGUCUGCUGGACAGCAACUGACGCUGAGGCGCGAAAGCGUGGGGAGCAAACAGG
RNAcentral lists this ribosomal RNA (253 nucleotides) under uncultured bacterium. RNAcentral describes it as "partial 16S ribosomal RNA". It matches the Rfam family "Bacterial small subunit ribosomal RNA", at positions 524 to 776 of the family's 1533-position model. The record is from RNAcentral.